This 253-nucleotide ribosomal RNA is filed under the name uncultured bacterium. RNAcentral's name for it is "partial 16S ribosomal RNA". It matches the Rfam family "Bacterial small subunit ribosomal RNA", at positions 524 to 776 of the family's 1533-position model. The record is from RNAcentral.
UACGUAGGGUGCAAGCGUUAAUCGGAAUUACUGGGCGUAAAGCGUGCGCAGGCGGUUGGGCAAGUCAGAUGUGAAAUCCCCGGGCUCAACCUGGGAACUGCAUUUGUGACUGCACGGCUGGAGUGCGGCAGAGGGGGAUGGAAUUCCGCGUGUAGCAGUGAAAUGCGUAGAUAUGCGGAGGAACACCGAUGGCGAAGGCAAUCCCCUGGGCCUGCACUGACGCUCAUGCACGAAAGCGUGGGGAGCAAACAGG